RNAcentral lists this long non-coding RNA (1734 nucleotides) under Homo sapiens (human). RNAcentral's name for it is "HSALNT0327384". Lineage: Eukaryota; Metazoa; Chordata; Mammalia; Primates; Hominidae. The record is from RNAcentral.
GGAAACCAUGGUAACAUCAGUGCUUCUGUUGAGCACAGUGGUCACUCAAAAGAGGCAGAGUGAGUUCAGCCUAUCAUUUGAGAUCCGAGUAUGAUUGGGGAAAUAUCCUGAAAUAGUCUAUGAUUUGAAGAAAUGGAUAGAUGGCUAGAAUAACAUGCUAGAUGGUAGUCAAGUUACUAACUGCAGAAUUGAUUUGAUAAAAUUCUCAUCGUGUCUCCUGACUUAGGAGAAAUAUUGGGUCUGAUGAAUGGGUAAAAUUCCCAGGUGAAAAGAAUUUGGUCUGUAAGAUUUGGCAGCACCCUGAGGUUUGCCAUAUCUGAUGGCCUGGCUUUAGUGGCAGCACCUAGUGAAGGCCCAGGUGUCCUUCUGACAACCUUUACCACCUACCGUUUUGUCCUUACUUAUGUUGAAUCACUACACACAGGCUGUUGAAUUCAGCUGUCUGUGGAGAAAUUAUACCAACCACAUGGUUAGACAGAAGGAAUACAAUAUAUUGCUUAAUUUGUAUCUGAAAGCUAAGCAACAUGGAAAAAAAUCAAGCAUGCUCAGUCACUUCCAUGAGGACAAACGAAGACACUUCAAGGAGGACAUUGACAUGGAUCUGCCAGCUUUCUAAGACUUUCCCCAGAUUCAAGUCCAGUCACAUCAAGUUGCCUUAUUAAAGGGUCUGCCCACUCAAAAGGAGAAAGUGCAAAAGAUGCUCAGCAAGGGUAGCAAACGCAGUCAGAUGAUACUUCCUGACAGCAUCCAAGAGCAAGUCUCACCACCACAUCUGUCAAUAAAAAAGAAAACAAGGAGCUGCCAAUUUGUCUAUUUAUAGGUGCCAAUAAAAUCCUGCACAGAACUUUAGUCAACAAGACUAUUUCAGAAGGGGUGGCCAACAGUGUGGCCUUUCACUGGCAAGGGCCACCUUUGUCAUCACUUAAGAAAGAAAACCUGCCAAGUUUUCUGUGAGGCCCUCAAUAAAUCUUACUGAGUAUUUCCAUACACAUCAGCCACCUUAACUUGAGGAAAGCCAACUUGGAAUAUCCAGCACAAUAAGCAUUGAAGAAACAAAUGGCAACGCAAGCUUAAAGAAUUCCAAGCCAUUAUGAACUGACUCUUCAAAUAAGUGCUUAUUUUCACAUAACCAGGGAGUUUCUGGAUUAACUUCCAUAUAAGACAUAUUUAUUAAAAGAUUUGCACCCCUAUUGCUGGCACUGGGUGGACCUCCCCAAACGCUCUGCCCUUGGUGCUCUUCUGCCGGUUAUUCUCGUCCAUGACCCCAGAGCCAGGGAGAAUCUCACCAGUGCAGCCCAGGGCACUUCUGAUAACAUCUGAGCAGAGUGAAGGAGAAGAAACGCACGAGGCAGGCAUCUCAUUUAUGGAAGUGCUCCUCUGGGUCAAGCCCUCUGCCAAUAAUUUUCAUGCAUAAUGGCCCUUUCAUUCUCCCCAAAAAUUCUUCAAGGGAGGGUGAUAAUCCCAGGAUAUGGAAACAAGGAAAAGCAGACUACAAGAAAACUGGCAUGAUUCUUCUGGUCUUCACCAAGCAAAACAAUUGUUUUUUAAAAGGAGAAUAAUUCAGUCUACUCAUUCAUUUAAAGCAAGAAAUUUUGAAGAGGAUGAAAUGAGAAUUCCACAACUCCUUACUUAAAACCAUAAUUGGAAAAUCCCCAUAAGAUUGUCCUCUGGGUUCACACCUAGGGAUCAAAUUUCAGGUAAAGCUGUGUUUUAACAAGAUUCACCCAAUUCUUC